UACAGAGGUCUCGAGCGUUGUUCGGAUUCAUUGGGCGUAAUGGGCGCGUAGGCGGCGGGGUAAGUCUGGUGUGAAAUCUCGGAGCUCAACUCCGAAAUUGCACUGGAUACUGCUCUGCUAGAGGGCUGGAGAGGAGAUCGGAAUUCACGGUGUAGCAGUGAAAUGCGUAGAUAUCGUGAGGAAGACCAGUGGCGAAGGCGGAUCUCUGGACAGCUCCUGACGCUGAGGCGCGAAGGCUAGGGGAGCAAACGGG
Molecule: ribosomal RNA, 253 nt
Filed under: uncultured bacterium
Lineage: Bacteria
Description: partial 16S ribosomal RNA
Rfam family: Bacterial small subunit ribosomal RNA
Source: RNAcentral